GGGCCGUUAGCUUAGUUGGUAAAGCAAUUGACUCUUAAUCAAAAGAUCGUAGGUUCAAAUCCUACACGGCCUA
This 73-nucleotide transfer RNA is filed under the name Enterobacteriaceae bacterium. RNAcentral describes it as "tRNA-Lys". It matches the Rfam family "tRNA". Rfam says of the family: Transfer RNA (tRNA) molecules are approximately 80 nucleotides in length. Their secondary structure includes four short double-helical elements and three loops (D, anti-codon, and T loops). Further hydrogen bonds mediate the characteristic L-shaped molecular structure. tRNAs have two regions of fundamental functional importance: the anti-codon, which is responsible for specific mRNA codon recognition, and the 3' end, to which the tRNAs corresponding amino acid is attached (by aminoacyl-tRNA synthetases). tRNAs cope with the degeneracy of the genetic code in two manners: having more than one tRNA (with a specific anti-codon) for a particular amino acid; and 'wobble' base-pairing, i.e. permitting non-standard base-pairing at the 3rd anti-codon position. RNAcentral also lists the same sequence under 1 other name. Lineage: Bacteria; Pseudomonadati; Pseudomonadota; Gammaproteobacteria; Enterobacterales; Enterobacteriaceae. The record is from RNAcentral.